CUGGCUAGGGAGAUGUUGAAGCGUAAUUAUAGUUCCUGGCUAUCCGGACUUUUUAACAAGGACAACAACAGUGUGGAAGUUGCACACUUCCAUGGUUUACAAGAAGCAUUGGACGAAACUCGUUAUGGGGAAACACCAGACUACCUCAAACGUAUCGCAACCCUAAUCGAAGUGGAUCGUGGAAAAGUUACUAAGUUUGGCCAUAAAAAUAUUGAAGUGCUGGUUUGUGCCGCAUUCAAAGAGAUGGAAGACUGGCGUACACCUAAGGAUUCCGGCUGUAACCAGUUGAAAAAGUGGGCCGCGACGCUCAAUAUGGGUAAGGAACAAGACUUUGAAGUGAAAUUUGCUGAUGACACGUUGAAUAAUAUUUGUCUUGCCUGUUAUGCUUCCUUAAUGAUCUAUGGAGGGGAUGGUUCAAUUCAGUUCAUACCAUUGGGGAACACUAUUACUAGUGGAAUGCUUCAAAAGGGUGGGCGUGAGGCGUCUGAAGCACAAUACAAUACAAACACACCACCAUUGUCGCACAGUGAUAAUCAGAUGAACUUAAUGCUCAGUGGAAGCAACAAAAGAGACGGGGUUUCAGAAGCUGGAGUACAACAAGGUACUGAAAUGAAUGAUGUUACUAUUACUGUUGAUCAAGACCACGGAAGUUUGCUGGCUAGGGAGAUAUUGAAGCGUAAUUAUAGUUCCUGGCUAUCCGGCCUUUUUAACAAAGACAACAACAGUGUGGAAGUUGCACACUUCCAUGGCUUACAAGAAGCAUUGGACAAAACUCGCUAUGGGGAAACACCAGACUACCUCAAAGGUAUCGCGGCUCUAAUCGAAGUGGAUCGUGGAAAAGCUACUAAGUUUGGCCAUAAAAAUAUUGAAGUUUUGGUUUGUGCCGCAAUCAAAGAGAUGGAAGACUGGCGUACACCUAAGGAUUCCGGCUAUAACCAGUUGAAAAAGUGGGCCGCGACGCUCAAUAUGGGUAAGGAACAAGAUUUUGAAGUGAAACUUGCUGAUGACAUGUUGAAUAAUAUUUGUCUUGCCUGUUAUGCUUAC
Molecule: long non-coding RNA, 1044 nt
Filed under: Gossypium raimondii (Peruvian cotton)
Lineage: Eukaryota; Viridiplantae; Streptophyta; Magnoliopsida; Malvales; Malvaceae
Description: long non-coding RNA (GRAI_LNC006015)
Source: RNAcentral